CUGGUUUGUUUAGAAAGCUCUUGACAGAACCGUUUUCCACAAGUUAUCAGAAUGAUUAAGUCAACAAUUUUUCUCAGUUUGUUACUGACGUUCUUAUCAUGUGUCCAGUCGGAGAUUGUUUUAACUCAACCAGAGGCACAAAGUGGCCAUCCCGGAGCCACCCUGAGACUGACCUGUAAAACCAGCGGCUUCGAUCUUACCAGUUACUGGAUGAGCUGGGUCCGACAGGUUCCCGGACAGGGGCUGGAGUGGCUGCUUGAAUACAAAAGUUCAUCCAGCAGUAACUAUGCCCCAGCGAUUAAGAAUCGAUUUACUGCGUCCAAAGACACUUCAAACAACAUCUUUGCGUUGGAGAUGACGAACCUGAAGAUCGAAGACACCGCCAUCU
This is a non-coding RNA of Chiloscyllium plagiosum (whitespotted bambooshark), 388 nucleotides long. Lineage: Eukaryota; Metazoa; Chordata; Chondrichthyes; Orectolobiformes; Hemiscylliidae. The record is from the annotation of a RefSeq genome assembly.